This 353-nucleotide ribosomal RNA is filed under the name uncultured bacterium. RNAcentral's name for it is "partial 16S ribosomal RNA". It matches the Rfam family "Bacterial small subunit ribosomal RNA", at positions 338 to 705 of the family's 1533-position model. The record is from RNAcentral.
CCUACGGGAGGCUGCAGUGGGGAAGAGUGGGCAAUGGAGGCAACUCUGACCCAGCAACGCCGCGUGAAUGAUGAAGGUCUUCGGAUUGUAAAGUUCUGUGAUGGGGGAGGAACACAAUGACGGUACCCCAAUAGCAAGCAACGGCUAACUACGGGCCAGCAGCCGCGGUAAUACGUAGGUGGCAAGCGUUAUCCGGAAUGACUGGGCGUAAAGGGAGCGUAGACGGUGCAGCAAGUCUGAUGGGAAAGGUCGGGGCCCAACCCCGGGACUGCAUGGGAAACUGUUGAACUGGAGUACCGGAGCGGUAAGCGGACUUCCUCGUGUAGCGGUGACAUUCGUAGAUAUUAGGCGGC